CUAGGCUAUCUUUAGCUGUGCUGCGAACCAGCGACUCCUGGCAGGAUCGUGGAUAUAUAGUCACUAAAGAAUGAGUCCUCCAGGCUCUCCUCCUCCUCAUCAUUACACACGCCCCCGAAGACCAGUAUCUGAUGAUUUGGAGCCAGGGCCACAGAAAAGCCAGACCUUGGAGUAGGCUUGACCCUUCCCCUGAAGGGUUAAUCUGGGCCCAAGGCCAUUUGCCUGUCAAAGGAAACAGAGGAAGGGGUAAGAGGGGACACUAAGAGCCAGGAAGAACACACAGAGAGCCUUGGACACCUGGGAUGAGGCCAAUUGUGAGCAUUUGAAAUUAUUUAGGCACAGAAACUCACUUUGCCCCCCUUAUAGGAAGAGGGAACGCCAGUCAACCAUCCUCAAAGUCCAUCCUUCUCCAAGCUCAGCUGUGUGACACCAGACCUCACCUUCUAAGGGACCCUGGAACCAAGGGUCAAAAGGCAGAGAGACAGAUGUGGAGAUGCCGACUUGCUAGAGGAGGAUCAUGGGCUAAAAUAGACCUCACUGGGGUCCUAAGCCAGCUCGCCCAGCCCUGGACUACACCACCUCUCAUCGGGGACAGCUGUGCUCAGCUUUCCCAACAGGUGCCAAAUUCUUCUAACACAUGGAAAAUGUCUUCCCGUUACUUCUAGAAGAAAGAACUGAGAUUGUCCCUCACUAAACAUUAAAAAAGCGCUGGUGACCAUGCACUGGAGGUGACUGACUAGGCCCACAGUGCGGGUAGGACUCUGGGCCUGCCCAUUAGUAGUCCCCAGUCAACCUAUCACAGCAGCAGGUGCUGUGGGGAGGGACUAGAGCCGAAAACACUAACAUGGAGUUAGCGAGGCCCAUCAUCUCACACUGUGCAUCUACAGAGGGAGUGCUGCUCAUAGCACAGGACUCCCUUAUCAUGGGGCUACUUGCUGGGCCCAAGGGACAGCCCCACACCGUCCAGCCUCCAGGUUCAAGCUUCACAGGUUCCCAGUCCUAGGUUCCUGCCAGCAGUGGCAGAUGACGCACAUUUGAGCACACAGAACUACAUAUCCUAGUAAUGUCUGUGUGCUCUUGAGUAAGAACACUCUUUAAAAUGUCACACAAGGACAGGACCACAGCAGCUCCUCCUUCCCAUCUCCCCACUCCUCCUCUGCCCUCACAUGUGGCUCCACACGUUGGGGCUGAGCAUGCAUGUUCAGGGAGUCCGCCCAAAACUGUCCUCCCCAAUCUUACCUCUAAGCAUUAGGACUAUACCUGAGAACAACACAAAUACAACACAGGGUUUUCGAGGGGGACAGAGUGGCUGAGUGACCUGGGCUCCUGCUGCCUUCCAGGGCACACCGAAGGCUCACCCAUGUCACAUAAGGCACCACGGUCCAACCACUCCUGAGAAAGGUGGUCUGGUUCUUGGCUCUAGGCAGCCAACAGGGAACUCAGUGCAGCUCCCAUUUUGACAAAAGGGACACACAGUCUUUGCUUCUGCCCAGAGGCUAAAUGUAAGCCCAAGGCCACACACCCAGAACACAAUCCUCAAGCACAGCAGGACCUUCUCCCCCUUCCUCGGGCUUCAGCAGGAACAUGUCUGAGGGCUGGGUGCCUUUGUCCACGUCUUUCUUGACUCUCAAAAACGAAGUCAUGAGAACCGGCCAGGCUGCGGCAGCACGUAACAGGAGCUGCAGUCCCACAGAGAGCACAGGUCUGUACCACGUGGAUGGACCCCCACACAGCACAGCUCAGCCAUACCUCCCUCUGGCUCCUGCGUGUCAUCAGAGGACACAGCUACACUGGCACUGUGUGGAGAGAAGCAAGCCAACACCAUUGACAGACCUCCUGGAGCCUUCAAACCCACCGAUCCCGGGUCCUUAGCCUUCAGCUUCAAACAGUGAUGCUGACCGGCUGUCAGCCCUGAGGCCACAGCACACACAUCUCCUACUCAGCACCCCACAGCCCAGAUACCUGCUGGCCAUGAUCAUCACCCUGAGAAGGAUGCCUGUCCAGUUAAAUGUCCCUGUACUGUUUGUGCUUAAAUUCUCAGUUUCAGUGCACAUGAUCUUGUGGUCUUUACUUCUACAGAAAAACUGAGAGACAGCCCAGAACCACUGUCCUGGCAGCUGCAGCUGCUCACCCUACCCAUGUCCAUGCAGAAGCUACACUGAUGAGAGGGACCAAGCAGGCCACACAGUCCUCAUUUUCCCUACUGUUGCUUCUCUCCCCCAGGGUGCCAUUCAGGUCCUACAUGUCCUGCAGGCUGGCUAAGCUCUGCCCUAGGGAACCACUAUUCCCCUUUCCAUCUGUACUGCCCAGAAGGAUGUGGCAGGAAUGGCAGGUGGGAGGUAAGCGGGCACACGGGGCACUGUCCUUAGAGACCAAGUGCUGGUCUCGGUUGUUUUUGUGUCAAGUUUUAAUGAAAACAGCAAGUCUGACCCUCCGGCCUCUGACUCCCUAAGCUCCCCCUCCCACAUACGCUCCACCAUGAUGAUACCAUCUGCCAUGAGCCAUCCGUGUCCAAUCUUAGAUUUUCAGGGUCCAAACUCAUUUUAUGGCCAAGUGUGCCCUCACAGUCUGGGAGGGCUGAAAUAAAUAAUCUCACUUCUUUUUAA
This is a non-coding RNA of Myodes glareolus (Bank vole), 2606 nucleotides long. The record is from RefSeq and is a predicted model, not a curated record. NCBI's taxonomy places the organism in Eukaryota, Metazoa, Chordata, Mammalia, Rodentia, Cricetidae.